AUACGUAGGGGGCGAGCGUUAUCCGGAAUUAUUGGGCGUAAAGAGUACGUAGGCGGUUCUGUAAGCGUGAGGUGAAAGCCCGGGGCUUAACUCCGGUAAGCCUUUCGAACUGCAGGACUUGAGUGCUGGAGGGGAAAGUGGAAUUCCUAGUGUAGCGGUGAAAUGCGUAGAGAUUAGGAGGAACACCAGUGGCGAAGGCGACUUUCUGGACAGUAACUGACGCUGAGGUACGAAAGCGUGGGGAGCAAACAGGAUUAGAUACCCUGGUAGUCCACGCUGUAAACGAUGAGCACUAGGUGUCGGGCUAGCAAUAGUUCGGUGCCGCAGUUAACGCAAUAAGUGCUCCGCCUGGGGAGUACGCACGCAAGUGUGAAACUCAAAUGAAUUGACGGGG
RNAcentral lists this ribosomal RNA (394 nucleotides) under uncultured bacterium. RNAcentral describes it as "partial 16S ribosomal RNA". It matches the Rfam family "Bacterial small subunit ribosomal RNA", at positions 523 to 918 of the family's 1533-position model. The record is from RNAcentral.